GCUUCCAUGGCGCAAUCGGUUAGCGGGUUCGGCUGUUAACCGAAAGGUUGGUGGUUCAAGCUAACCCGGGAGCG
Molecule: transfer RNA, 74 nt
Filed under: Toxocara canis (dog roundworm)
Lineage: Eukaryota; Metazoa; Nematoda; Chromadorea; Rhabditida; Toxocaridae
Rfam family: tRNA
About the family: Transfer RNA (tRNA) molecules are approximately 80 nucleotides in length.
Source: Rfam by way of RNAcentral